RNAcentral lists this ribosomal RNA (493 nucleotides) under uncultured bacterium. Its description in RNAcentral is "partial 16S ribosomal RNA". It matches the Rfam family "Bacterial small subunit ribosomal RNA", at positions 29 to 523 of the family's 1533-position model. The record is from RNAcentral.
AUUGAACGCUGGCGGCAUGCUUUACACAUGCAAGUCGAACGGUAACAGGUUAAGCUGACGAGUGGCGAACGGGUGAGUAAUGCAUCGGAACGUGCCCGAUCGUGGGGGAUAACGCAGCGAAAGCUGCGCUAAUACCGCAUACGAACUGAGGAUGAAAGCGGGGGACCGUAAGGCCUCGCGCGAUCGGAGCGGCCGAUGUCAGAUUAGGUAGUUGGUGGGGUAAAGGCUCACCAAGCCAACGAUCUGUAGCUGGUCUGAGAGGACGACCAGCCACACUGGGACUGAGACACGGCCCAGACUCCUACGGGAGGCAGCAGUGGGGAAUUUUGGACAAUGGGCGAAAGCCUGAUCCAGCAAUGCCGCGUGCAGGAAGAAGGCCUUCGGGUUGUAAACUGCUUUUGUACGGAGCGAAAAGGCUCUCUCUAAUACAGGGGGCCCAUGACGGUACCGUAAGAAUAAGCACCGGCUAACUACGUGCCAGCCGCCGCGGUAA